RNAcentral lists this ribosomal RNA (497 nucleotides) under uncultured bacterium. RNAcentral describes it as "partial 16S ribosomal RNA". It matches the Rfam family "Bacterial small subunit ribosomal RNA", at positions 28 to 507 of the family's 1533-position model. The record is from RNAcentral.
GAUGAACGCUGGCGGCGUGCCUAAUACAUGCAAGUCGAGCGAACGGACGAGAAGCUUGCUUCUCUGAUGUUAGCGGCGGACGGGUGAGUAACACGUGGAUAACCUACCUAUAAGACUGGGAUAACUUCGGGAAACCGUAGCUAAUACCGGAUAAUAUUUUGAACCGCAUGGUUCAAAAGUGAAAGACGGUCUUGCUGUCACUUAUAGAUGGAUCCGCGCUGCAUUAGCUCGUUGGUAAGGUACCGGCUUACCAAGGCAACGAUGCAUAGCCGACCUGAGAGGGUGAUCGGCCACACUGGAACUGAGACACGGUCCAGACUCCUACGGGAGGCAACAGUAGGGAAUCUUCCGCAAUGGGCGAAAGCCUGACGGAGCAAAGCCGCGUGAGUGAUGAAGGUCUUCGGAUCGUAAAACUCUGUUAUUAGGGAAGAACAUAUGUGUAAGUAACUGUGCACAUCUUGACGGUACCUAAUCAGAAAGCCACGGCUAACUACGUG